RNAcentral lists this ribosomal RNA (612 nucleotides) under Hydrocoryne iemanja. Its description in RNAcentral is "partial 16S ribosomal RNA". It matches the Rfam family "Bacterial large subunit ribosomal RNA", at positions 1798 to 2620 of the family's 2925-position model. The record is from RNAcentral. Lineage: Eukaryota; Metazoa; Cnidaria; Hydrozoa; Anthoathecata; Hydrocorynidae.
GACUGUUUACCAAAAACAUAGCCCUUAUAAAUAUUGAAGGUGAAACCUGCCCAAUGGUUUAUGAUUAAAAUUUUAAUAUAAUUAAAAAUAAACUUAAAGGACGCGGUAUCUUGACCGUGAUAAUGUAGCAUAAUCAUUCGCCACUUAAUUAGUGGAUAGUAUGAAUGGUGAAACGAAUAUAACACUGUCUCAAAUAAAAACCUUAUAAAAUUGAAAUAAUAGUUAAGAUACUAUUUAAAACUGUAAGACGAGAAGACCCUAUAGAGCUUAACUACAACUUUUAUAAUUAAAAGCUUGGUAGUUUAGUUGGGGCGACUACCUUCUAAAAUAAACGAAGGUAAACAAAAUUAAUAAAAAUAAUUUAUUGUAUAACCAAUAAGUUUAACAAUUACUAUAGUAGGUUAUAAUGACCCGUUAUAUAUUCAUAGAAAAUAUAGCGAUUAAUAAAUAAAAGCUACCUUAGGGAUAACAGGAUAAUCCUGUUCUAGAGAUCUUAUCGAAUACAGGGUUUGUCACCUCUAUGUUGAAUUGAGAUAUCCUAAAAAUGCAGCAGUUUUUAAGGGUGGGUCUGUUCGACCCAUAAAAUCUUACAUGAUUUGAGUUCAUUCCGUA